UGGGGUUUCACCAUGUUGGCCAGGCUGGUCUCAAACUCCUGACCUUGUGAUCUGCCCACCUCGGGCUCCCAAAGGCCGCAAACUUUUAAUGGCUUGAAAUCUUACAGUUCUGUAGGUCAGGAGUCUUGACACAGGUCCCACUAGGUUACAAUUAAGGUGUCAGCAGGGCUGUAUUAGUCCCUAGAGUCUUUAGGGGAGGCAAGGUUUUUUUUUUUUAUCUUUUCAAGCUUCUGAAGACUCUGCCUUUGGCUCACGGUCUCUUACUCCAUCUUCAUAUCUAGCAGCAGCAGGUGGCGUCUGCAUCACACUGGACCCCUCUUACCUCCCUCUUUCACUUUUAAGGACCCUUGUGAUUAAUAUUGAGCCCAUCCAAAUAUUUAGAAAUAAUUUAUUUUAAGGUCAGCUCAUUGGCAGUCUUAAUUCCCCUUGUAACAUUUCACAUUUGCAGGUUCUAGGAUUAGGACUUGGAUAUUGUUGGAGGUCAUUCUGCCUGUCUUAGGGAAUUGUGUUGGUUUUGGACAUGGUUAUAGUUCCAGGCAUACAUAACUGCUUAGAGUUGUUUUCAGACAGCGUAAGUGAAAUGAAUGAGCUAAGGAAAAUACUUAAUCCAAUAAAAAAUAGAACAUACUCGGGCUGUCUCAAUGUUUUCCUACGGUAUUUAAGUGCCAGUUUAUGGAGGUUUUAAAGAAAAGAUUUUCUCAGACGAGAAGAGCUUAUAAUAUACUUCCUGCAAACAUUCUAGAAAAUGUAGGUCCUUAUCAGUCAACCUUCAGAAUGGGGAAACCACAAAAUAAGUGAAAUUUUGUUAACCUAUCUAAGUAAACAUUAAAGAGUUGCUUUUAGAAAUGACACAAUGUAAAGAGACCAUCAGGGUCUAAAACCUCAUUAGCCAGAACUGGAAAAUGAGCUUUUAAAUACAGGUAAAAAGUAAAUAAGCAAUUUAUCCUCUACUUUGUUAGAGUACAGAAAUAGUAUUUCAAAGCAACCACUAGCAGAAUAAAAGACUAUACUUAACUUUGAAAUCACCAGGAAAAAGGCUAGGAAAACAGCCCACAAAGCAAAAGACAAAAAGGAGGAGACAGAAAUAAGAACAUUUUUAAUUAAAAUUAAGCACAGAAAAAUUUUAAGUAGUUUGUAUUCAAGUCAGUUUUACUUAAAUUUUAUAACAUGCAAGCCCUGGUUAUUUUUAGUGAUUGGAAAUGUAGACAACUGGUGGUUUGCCCCUAGUCAAUGGGAAGUCCUGGCCCUUGAUACUCUGGCCCAGCAGUAAGAGCUUCUAUUAAACCUCUGCUCCUUGAACAAGGAACAAAUCUUACUUUGUAUUCCCCAAAAUGACUGCAAAGUAGGCAUUCAAUAGAUAGCUGUUGAAUGGAUUGGAGAUUUCUCCUAAACAUCAUGUUACAAUUCAACUGUUCUUUGAUGUACUGCAGUAGACAUUUUCAUGCCAUUCUUAAAUUUCUCAGUCUCCUGAUGCCAAAUUUUGUUUAGAGGUAGAGGCUGAAGGUUAUGCUUGCUUUGGUGGAGAGUAUAAAGACAAUAGUAUGUGUGUAGCGGGGAAUGAGGCAGUGGAUAUAAAGAAAAGAAAAGGUUAUUUGCACAUCCAUAAGUAAUAUGUAACGGUGGCAAUGAAUGGCUGGCUGGGGUGGGAUAGUGGUUCUGGUCAGCUCCGGGAACUUUGUUGGUCGGUCAUAGUGUGAUAAAAGAGUUCAGAACAGAUCUCAAAUUAGGUUUUGUUUGUUUUUGUCUUUAUAAUUUAGGAAAUUAGAAAUGAGUCCUACCUCAGGACCGCAAUCUGUCUUUUUCACUUUUUGGCUGUUAUGUUCUUCACCAAAUCACUCUUUGGGAAGUAAGCUGCAGAGUGAACUGAUGGAUGUCUAUGAAAAUAAACAUGCAUGACCCUGUAACAAAGCAUGUGUGUCCUCAAGAAGAUUGCAGGUGAUUUUCAGAUGAGUCUCAUGUCUGCACAGUGAGAAUUCAUAAAAUGAAGUGUUAACCAAUACUCAGAAAGUGAGUUCAGAGGGGGAAAUAACUGCUGCAGUACUGUGUGUGCUUGAUACACAUUAUGACAGUUCUUAUUCAGUCUCAUAAAAGGAAGAAAAAUAAGGAAUUUGCUUGGCUUUUGGAUUUCAACUGUUUCCCUUACUGGAAAAUGAAAAACAUGUGCAUAAACAAUACAGUAAAUUUAAAUGAUUGCAUAAGGAUCUCUAUAUGCCUGAAAGUCAUGCUUGAAAAGGCCUCCAGUUUGAACAAGAGACAACAUAGCAGUGACAUUCAUGGCCUGAUGUCCAAAGACCAGCAUAGAAAAAAAAAAGCCAUUACCCUUGCCCUGAAUAUGUGGGCUGAAAUUCAUUGUAACUGUGUACAGGAGAUUAGAGACAGAAGGCAAUAAGAAAGCACUGGAAGUGCUUGGUCCAGAAUCAUUUAAUAGUGUAUGGAUUAGAAAAGGAGGUGGUAGUUAGAUGGGAUUAAGAAACCGUGUUUGUUGCUAACAAGAACCCUAAAUUCUGCCACAAUACAGUGAGAGGAGACCAUGGUUUGAUCCCUAUUAACAGUAAUAGUGGAUACUGCUAAGAAAAACCCAGCUAAUUAUGCCGCCGCCUCCUCUGAAUCACUGCUGUCCCUACUGGUUUAGUUCCUUAGCAGAAACAAAGUAGUAAUAGACGAAUAAAUCUGCCCUGCUGCAGAAGUGCAUUAGAGAACAUGAAGGUAAUUUUAUUGGGUGAAAACCUGGAGAAUGGUUUUUUUAUAACCUUAAAAAAUCUUAUUGAGUGGCCUGAGUAAUUUUGUUACGAUUUACUCAGCCCUCCAUCCUUCCUGUAGGACUUGUGAAUGUCCUUGUUAACUAUUUAAAGAUGAUAAUGGUAGCUAACAAUUUUGUCAAGCAUUGAGUAUUCAUUUAAUCCUAACUCCAGUCUGAGGUAAUUGCUGUGAUAAUUAUUCCCAUUUUACAGAUAAGGAAACUGAGGCAGAGAGAGAUGUAGCGGACCAAGUUCACAAAGCUGAUAAAACAGAGGAACCAGGAUUUAAAUCUAGGUAGUUUGGCUCUAGCACAAGUUCUCUUAACUGCUGUAUUGCCUUUCAGUCCAGCUUAUACAUUUUGAUAACUAUGCUAACAAAAUCCAAGGAAAUAGCAACAAAAUAUUAACAUUAGUUAUCACUGAACAGAAAAAUUUGGAGUUUUAGUAUUUUGAGUUUAUACCUUUCCCAAAUGUUAUAGAAUAAUCGCAUUCCUGUUACGAUCAGAAAAAAAUACUUUAAAAUGAGCAUAAUUUUUAUGAAAACUAGGGAGAGAAUUACAUAAAAUAUUCUCACAAGAAAGACUGGGAGAAAUACAUGCAAAAAGGUCUGUUGCAGUGUUACCUGUGUAGUGAAAUUUUCAGUCAUUUUUUCUUCUGUACUUUAUUUUUUGGUAUUUGAUUUUAAACCUGUAGUUUUUUUUUUAAUGCUAAAAAAUAUACAAUCAUCUUUAUAUAAUCACUGAUUUCUGGAGAAAUUAUUUACCAAAAUGAUUCAGAAAACAUGGAAACUGUUAAGUGAGUUACCAAAAAAUAUUUUAAGAUGUAAUUAAAUGAUUCUAUCAAAGACAUUAGGCCUAGAGAAUCUGGGGUAUUUAAUUAUUUUAAAUUUCUGAAGUAUGAGCCAAUUCAAAUGAUGUUAUAUACUCUUGAAAAAGUAAAAACUUCCUAAUGCAUUUCCUUAAAUUAGCAUUAAAAUCUGAGAAAUAAGCAAAAAUAUAAUGGUCAUCUCACUUAUUACAGAUGCAAAAGAACUACAUAAAAAAUGCAAAUAACAGAAAUAAUAGUAAUAGUAUAUACUAAAAUAGCUGUUGUCCCCACCGUGAGUUAACUCUGCUUUGCUAGUGUUAAGAAACUCAAUUAAAUAGAAUGCAGAAAUAAUUGGCAUAAUUAUUGCUAACAUCCAAAAAUAUUGUCUUUGAAAACCCAAAGAAUUAUUAGAAAAAUUAGUACUGAUAGAGACCACAGUGAGGUAAUUUAACACAAAAAUUAAAUGUAAAAACCAAUGUUUUCCUUGAUACUAACAAAUAUAAGUUGCUCAAUAAAACAAAAAGACUGCAAAAUAUUAAGUUAUAAAGCACCUAGAAGAAAAUCUUGAGACAUAUGCAGAGUGAAAGGUAAAAAAUUUAUACUUCACUUUUUCAUAAACUUUUAAUGAAAUUCAAAAAAGGUGCAUAAAUAGAGUUUAUGCAUUCUAGCCAGGUUUUUUUGUGUGUGUGAGAAAACAGUACUAUGUCAGCCUUCCCAUACUAUGUUAUUCUGCUAACAUUGCUACAAUAAAAAGUCAGUGGAAUUUA
This 4312-nucleotide long non-coding RNA is filed under the name Homo sapiens (human). Its description in RNAcentral is "HSALNT0374563". Lineage: Eukaryota; Metazoa; Chordata; Mammalia; Primates; Hominidae. The record is from RNAcentral.